Molecule: non-coding RNA, 109 nt
Filed under: Citrobacter gillenii
Lineage: Bacteria; Pseudomonadati; Pseudomonadota; Gammaproteobacteria; Enterobacterales; Enterobacteriaceae
Source: RNAcentral
UGUCGGAGUGCUUAUUUUCCACAACAGCAUGAGUGGAAAAGGCUGAGACCGUUAAUUCGGGAUCCGCGGAACCUGAUCAGGCUAAUACCUGCGAAGGGAACAAGAGUAA